This 75-nucleotide transfer RNA is filed under the name Oscillospiraceae bacterium. Its description in RNAcentral is "tRNA-Cys". It matches the Rfam family "tRNA". From Rfam's summary of the family: Transfer RNA (tRNA) molecules are approximately 80 nucleotides in length. Their secondary structure includes four short double-helical elements and three loops (D, anti-codon, and T loops). The record is from RNAcentral. Lineage: Bacteria; Bacillati; Bacillota; Clostridia; Eubacteriales; Oscillospiraceae.
GGCGCCGUAGCCAAGUGGUAAGGCAAAGGUCUGCAACACCUUCAUUCCCCGGUCCAAAUCCGGGCGGCGCCUCCA